Perca flavescens (yellow perch) is the source of this 622-nucleotide long non-coding RNA. RefSeq lists it as uncharacterized. The transcript has 5 exons. The record is from RefSeq and is a predicted model, not a curated record. NCBI's taxonomy places the organism in Eukaryota, Metazoa, Chordata, Actinopteri, Perciformes, Percidae.
UUCCUUGGGGUAACAAAUUGAUGCGGGACCAGGAAAUGAAAGUAGAUGCUAUCAGUGUAUUGUUGGUGUUUGUGUGCACACUGUAUGGAUUAACAGAAAGAAAUGUGUUAUGGAGCAGAAUCGACUGGGACCACGUCAUUCGCUAUGUGGUUUACAGAUGUUUGAAGCGUGGAUGCACGAGGCUUCAUGAAAACCUGCUGUGGCGUUUCUUUGACGGUGGAACUCCUGCUGCUCAUCAAUGAAUGCUGUGUGGAUUUGCCAGCCCUUUCUCCACAGCGCUUUGGAGGCAAUCGAGACCAGAAAUGAACUGAAGCCCUGAACAGUCUUUUGAGGUUCAUAAAUUUGGGUGUGGUGCUCCUGGCUCUCUCUCCCUCCUCGUCGGGACACCUGCGGCUUCCUGCUCACCUGAAUCCUAUCCAGCCAACCAGUCUCUGCCAGAUCGCCCAUUCACCCAAGUGAUUCCUGCUUCAGCCCUAGAAGCCCAGUCUGCCUGUCUGAGCCAACUUGUUUUUUGUUGUUGGACCUGCCUCUCACCUGUCUGCCCGCUCUCAGCCCCAGAGGAUUUCAACCACCGUCAUUACUCAUUGUGUUCAAUAAACCACAAUACCUGUUCUGACCUUUU